This 252-nucleotide ribosomal RNA is filed under the name uncultured bacterium. RNAcentral's name for it is "partial 16S ribosomal RNA". It matches the Rfam family "Bacterial small subunit ribosomal RNA", at positions 524 to 776 of the family's 1533-position model. The record is from RNAcentral.
UACGUAGGGGGCUAGCGUUGUCCGGAUUUAUUGGGCGUAAAGAGCGUGUAGGCGGCCAGGUAGGUCUGGUGUGAAAACUCGAGGCUUAACCUUGAGAUGUCAUCGGAAACCAUUUGGCUAGAGUCCGGAAGAGGAAAGUGGAAUUCCUGGUGUAGCGGUGAAAUGCGCAGAUAUCAGGAAGAACACCAAGGGCGAAAGCAGCUUUCUGGGACGGUACUGACGCUGAGACGCGAAGCGUGGGGAGCGAACAGG